RNAcentral lists this ribosomal RNA (402 nucleotides) under uncultured prokaryote. Its description in RNAcentral is "bacterial SSU rRNA". It matches the Rfam family "Bacterial small subunit ribosomal RNA", at positions 355 to 774 of the family's 1533-position model. The record is from RNAcentral.
UGGGGAAUAUUGGGCAAUGGGCGAAAGCCUGACCCAGCAACGCCGCGUGAAGGAAGAAGGUUUUCGGAUCGUAAACUUCUAUCCCAGAUGAAGAUAAUGACGGUAAUCUGGAAGGAAGCCCCGGCUAACUACGUGCCAGCAGCCGCGGUAAUACGUAGGGGGCAAGCGUUGUCCGGAAUGAUUGGGCGUAAUGGGCGCGUAGGCGGCCUUUUAAGUCCGGUGUGAAAGUCCUGCUUUUAAGGUGGGAAUUGCAUUGGAAACUGGAAGGCGUGAGUGCAGGAGAGGUAAGUGGAAUUCCCGGUGUAGCGGUGAAAUGCGUAGAGAUCGGGAGGAACACCAGUGGCGAAGGCGACUUACUGGACUGUAACUGACGCUGAGGCACGAAAGUGUGGGGAGCAAACA